AAUUCGAUUGGGAGGCAGCAGUAGGGAAUCUUCGGCAAUGGACGAAAGUCUGACCGAGCAACGCCGCGUGAGUGAAGAAGGUUUUCGGAUCGUAAAACUCUGUUGUUAGAGAAGAACAAGGACGUUAGUAACUGAACGUCCCCUGACGGUAUCUAACCAGAAAGCCACGGCUAACUACGUGCCAGCAGCCGCGGUAAUAAUCA
RNAcentral lists this ribosomal RNA (203 nucleotides) under uncultured Enterococcus sp. RNAcentral describes it as "partial 16S ribosomal RNA". It matches the Rfam family "Bacterial small subunit ribosomal RNA", at positions 334 to 529 of the family's 1533-position model. Lineage: Bacteria; Bacillati; Bacillota; Bacilli; Lactobacillales; Enterococcaceae. The record is from RNAcentral.